CCUACGGGCGGCAGCAGUGGGGAAUUUUCCACAAUGGGCGAAAGCCUGAUGGAGCAACGCCGCGUGUGUGAUGAAGGUCUUCGGAUCGUAAAGCACUUUCGACCGGGACGAAAAACCUCUGGCUAACAUCCAGGGGCCUGACGGUACCGGGAGAAGAAGCACCGGCUAACUCUGUGCCAGCAGCCGCGGUAAUACAGAGGGUGCAAGCGUUGUUCGGAAUUGUGGGGAGGCGAGUUGGCAAGUGCGACGUGAAAGCCCAUGGCUUAACCAUGGAAGUGCGUCUGAAACUGCCGAGCUUGAGUGCCGGAGAGGAUGGCGGAAUUCCGCAAGUAGAGGUGAAAUUCGUAGAUAUGCGGAGGAACACCGGUGGCGAAGGCGGCCAUCUGGACGGUAACUGACGCUGAGACGCGAAAGCGUGGGGAGCAAACAGGAUUAGAUACCCCAGUAGUC
This 450-nucleotide ribosomal RNA is filed under the name uncultured bacterium. RNAcentral describes it as "partial 16S ribosomal RNA". It matches the Rfam family "Bacterial small subunit ribosomal RNA", at positions 338 to 795 of the family's 1533-position model. The record is from RNAcentral.